AGAGCAGGCUACGGUGUGAAUAAGUGGAGACAGUCAGUUGCGUGAGCCAAUCAGAUCUCGAGUCUUUGACACCUAUGCCAGUUAAGAGUCCUCACGCUGCAACGGACAUGUAAGCAUCCUGUGAUUGGAUGAGAUCACGCGAGAGCUUGAAAGACGGCAAUGGCUAAACUAAACCAGAAAACUUAAAAAGAAAAACACAAAACCGGGAAACCUGUUAGCUACUAACACUUAUGGCUUUAUUUGUAAACCACGAGGUCUGAACCAGGAGGCGCUGUGUUUAAGACGGAGCCUUCGUGGAGACCUGGUUCUUUCAAGAAGAGCCUCUCAAUGACAGUUUCUCUGCAUACCAUUAACAACAAGGUGAAUCAAUUCCAAGGAAGAUACCCUUCACCAUUUACUAAAAUCUCUGGGACAUGUUUGGAGUUCAGCGGCUGACAUCUGAAAGCGCAGUACAUGGUUCCCUGCGAUAGACUGAGAGCCCAGCACGUGUCUCUGCUGUCUGUGCUCUGUCCAUGGACAUCCAGGAUGGAUGGAUGGAUGGAUGGAUGGAUGGAUGGAUGGAUGGAUGGAUGGAUGGAUGGAUGGGGUCACUCAUCCCGUGUAUACUGACCCCACAGUGCUGUGGAAUUCAGGACACCAGAGUCAUUGGCCGUUUUCUGCUGAGGGCCGAUAACACCACGGUUUCACACUACGCCCACUCACAGCAAUCCAUUUCCCUCAAUUUCAGGUCUUGAGGCUUGCCACUGUGGACCACGAGAUCAAUAUUUGCCAAGUUUAAACCACAGGAUUAUCUGUCUGUCAGGGUUCCCAACAGAAGCUCUCAGCUGUGACAUAAAUCUUGGACUGUCCUCCGCUGUUUGAGAAGGUCACACCCCAAAACUGCCUUUGUUGUGUUGUAAACCUAACGUACGGAUCAACUAGUCCAUGAAGCGGAUCACUGUGCAGAUGUGCACAGUACAAUGCUGCGGGAAUUUUCCAUUUGUUUUUGAUUUAGUUCUUUGCAUGUGGAAACAUCCUUUCAUAUAAACAUCUUUGACAACUUUCAGUGCAUCUAAUAGGGGUAAAGGUUGAUCUAAUAUGCCUAUUUGAACCUGCUUGGUUAAUUAUUAACGUACAUUUCUUUCUCUGAUGAGCAGUGUACUUGUGAUCAGUACAACACAAACAGCACAUGAAUUAUUGGCCAUGCACACAUGGAUUGGUGAGCAGCCCUCCAGCGAUCUAUCUAGAAUUAGACCUGUCAUGUCAUGUGUCCUUGCUCCGCAGUGAAGGUCACCUGCGAACUUAACAUUAAUCUCUCAAAGUGCAGUGAUGGCUCCACUUUGCCCUUGGAGAGGCGUGUGGCACAUUUGGGUUGAUUACUGGAGAUCUUGGCUCAGCUUGUGUGCUGUGUUGUUGACAUGAACAGCUUGCUUUUCCAGAACGCUUUAAUUCACAUGGUCAGGUAAAGAUUUUGCCCUUGAGACUCGUCGAUUGUCCUUUUUAUUGGAUGGGAUGGUGCAUGACAGGAUUGUGUAUAUACUGAGUUUGCUAUUGCUGAUUUCCUAUUAUAUCCUACAUCAAUCUGUAUAUGAGUAAAUUGAAUUUUUAUUAAUCAUUUGAUACAAUGCUGUGUAGUACUGGUGACUGUGUUUGUGAAGGUCAAAGGCUAACAAUAAUCUCUCAACAUGUCUGAGUGUAUUAGAUGCAAACAACAACAUGUAACGGCACUGGUGUCAUCCUUUAAAUCCUCAUUUCAUCAAAAACACAGGUGCAACAUUUACGUCACAGCUGUUUAGUCACGCAAACUCCAAGGAUGCCACCGAUUGAUAAACGACCAUUUUGUCCAAACACGACUUCCUAGUGGUUCCUAACUUAAAUUGAA
RNAcentral lists this long non-coding RNA (1861 nucleotides) under Betta splendens (Siamese fighting fish). RNAcentral's name for it is "lncRNA (ENSBSLG00000007746.1)". The record is from RNAcentral. Lineage: Eukaryota; Metazoa; Chordata; Actinopteri; Anabantiformes; Osphronemidae.